RNAcentral lists this ribosomal RNA (368 nucleotides) under Crotophaga major. RNAcentral's name for it is "12S ribosomal RNA". It matches the Rfam family "Bacterial small subunit ribosomal RNA", at positions 800 to 1361 of the family's 1533-position model. The record is from RNAcentral. Lineage: Eukaryota; Metazoa; Chordata; Aves; Cuculiformes; Crotophagidae.
CCCUAAAUCUUGAUACUACAUCCUACUGAGGUAUCCGCCCGAGAACUACGAGCACAAACGCUUAAAACUCUAAGGACUUGGCGGUGUCCCAAACCCACCUAGAGGAGCCUGUUCUAUAACCGAUACCCCACGCUACACCCAACCGUCUCUAGCCCCAAAUCAGCCUACAUACCGCCGUCGCCAGCUCACCUCCCCUGAGAGAGCAACAGUGAGCAUAAUAGUCCCACCCUACUAACAAGACAGGUCAAGGUAUAGCUUAUGAGCCGGAAGCAAUGGGCUACAUUUUCUAACACUAGAAAACACGAAAAGGGGCAUGAAACUACCCCUAGAAGGCGGAUUUAGCAGUAAAGAAAGACAAUAAAGCUCUC